This 358-nucleotide ribosomal RNA is filed under the name uncultured bacterium. Its description in RNAcentral is "partial 16S ribosomal RNA". It matches the Rfam family "Bacterial small subunit ribosomal RNA", at positions 338 to 693 of the family's 1533-position model. The record is from RNAcentral.
CCUACGAGAGGCAGCCGUGAGGAAUAUUGGUCAAUGGACGAGAGUCUGAACCAGCCAAGUAGCGUGAAGGAUGACUGCCCUAUGGGUUGUAAACUUCUUUUAUAUGGGAAUAAAACGAUCCACGUGUGGCUUUUUGUAUGUACUUUAUGAAUAAGGAUCGGCUAACUCCGUGCCAGCAGCCGCGGUAAUACGGAGGAUCCGAGCGUUAUCCGGAUUUAUUGGGUUUAACGGGAGCGUAGGUGGUUUGUUAAGUCAGUUGUGAAAGUUUGCGGCUCAACCGUAAAAUUGCAGUUGAAACUGGAAGUCUUGAGUACAUUAGAGGUAGGCGGAAUUCGUGGUGUAGCGGUGAAAUGCUUAG